RNAcentral lists this transfer RNA (65 nucleotides) under Ambigolimax valentianus. Its description in RNAcentral is "tRNA-Ser". The record is from RNAcentral. Lineage: Eukaryota; Metazoa; Mollusca; Gastropoda; Stylommatophora; Limacidae.
ACUUUUAUUUUUUAAUUAUAAAGAUUUUGAAAAUCUUUCUCGGUAUAAAUUUAUACCUUAAGGUG